This 253-nucleotide ribosomal RNA is filed under the name uncultured bacterium. RNAcentral's name for it is "partial 16S ribosomal RNA". It matches the Rfam family "Bacterial small subunit ribosomal RNA", at positions 524 to 776 of the family's 1533-position model. The record is from RNAcentral.
UACGAAGGGGGCUAGCGUUGUUCGGAAUCGCUGGGCGUAAAGGGCGCGUAGGCGGCCUUGUAAGUCGGGGGUGAAAGCCUGUGGCUCAACCACAGAAUUGCCUUCGAUACUGCAGGGCUUGAGACCGGAAGAGGUGAGUGGAACUGCGAGUGUAGAGGUGAAAUUCGUAGAUAUUCGCAAGAACACCAGUGGCGAAGGCGGCUCACUGGUCCGGGUCUGACGCUGAGGCGCGAAAGCGUGGGGAGCAAACAGG